AGAGUUUGAUCCUGGCUCAGGACUAACGCUGGCGGCAUGCCUUACACAUGCAAGUCGAACGGCAGCACGGACUUCGGUCUGGUGGCGAGUGGCGAACGGGUGAGUAAUACAUCGGAACGUGUCCUGGAGUGGGGGAUAGCCCGGCGAAAGCCGGAUUAAUACCGCAUACGCUCUGUGGAGGAAAGCGGGGGAUCGAAAGA
RNAcentral lists this ribosomal RNA (200 nucleotides) under uncultured bacterium. Its description in RNAcentral is "partial 16S ribosomal RNA". It matches the Rfam family "Bacterial small subunit ribosomal RNA", at positions 8 to 209 of the family's 1533-position model. The record is from RNAcentral.